This 253-nucleotide ribosomal RNA is filed under the name uncultured bacterium. Its description in RNAcentral is "partial 16S ribosomal RNA". It matches the Rfam family "Bacterial small subunit ribosomal RNA", at positions 524 to 776 of the family's 1533-position model. The record is from RNAcentral.
UACGAAGGGGGCUAGCGUUGCUCGGAAUUACUGGGCGUAAAGGGCGCGUAGACGGACAGUUUAGUCAGAGGUGAAAGCCCAGGGCUCAACCUUGGAAUUGCCUUUGAUACUGGCUGUCUUGAGUUCGGGAGAGGUGAGUGGAAUGCCGAGUGUAGAGGUGAAAUUCGUAGAUAUUCGGCGGAACACCAGUGGCGAAGGCGACUCACUGGCCCGAUACUGACGCUGAGGCGCGAAAGCGUGGGGAGCAAACAGG